This 253-nucleotide ribosomal RNA is filed under the name uncultured bacterium. RNAcentral describes it as "partial 16S ribosomal RNA". It matches the Rfam family "Bacterial small subunit ribosomal RNA", at positions 524 to 776 of the family's 1533-position model. The record is from RNAcentral.
UACGUAGGGUCCGAGCGUUGUCCGGAAUUAUUGGGCGUAAAGGGCUCGUAGGCGGUCUGUUGCGUCGGGAGUGAAAACUUACAGCUUAACUGUGAGCGUGCUUCCGAUACGGGCAGACUUGAGGUAUUCAGGGGAGAACAGAAUUCCUGGUGUAGCGGUGAAAUGCGCAGAUAUCAGGAGGAACACCGGUGGCGAAGGCGGUUCUCUGGGAAUAUCCUGACGCUGAGGAGCGAAAGUGUGGGGAGCGAACAGG